Molecule: ribosomal RNA, 31 nt
Filed under: Steinernema sp. LFS65
Lineage: Eukaryota; Metazoa; Nematoda; Chromadorea; Rhabditida; Steinernematidae
Description: partial 28S ribosomal RNA
Source: RNAcentral
CAAGCAAGACUACCCGCUGAACUUAAGCAUA